UCCAGAUUUUAAUUCCUUAGUGGAGUGAGGCGUAAAUUGUGCCUUAUUUUAAAGAUAAGUCUUGGUGACUUUUUUUCUGUAGCAUUGCUGAAACAUUAUUGUAUUUUGUUGCCUGAUUUUUGGGGCAUUAUAGUGCAACCGAGCUUUAUCCAUUUUAAUGGAUGCUCAACAGGGGAAUAGGCGUUAGAAGUGGUCGCUGAACCUCUGGGGCUUCGGCCGAAAAAAUCUUGUGUUCAUUUACAAGUUUCUGUACUUUAUUUUACUGUUUGUUGUGUUUGUUUGAAUCUUGAUUAAUUCUUGGACGCUUCUCGACUUUUCAUACAUGAUGGAGGUUGAAGCAGAAUAAAUGGUCCCCUAUCAAUAUCGAUGUUUUAAUAUCAAAACUUAAAAAAUUUAGAGCUUGUAUAAUUCUGUGGCCUUUUUUUAUCAGAGAUAUUCUUCUUAUUUUUGGUAUUUAUAGCUUGAAAUCCGACAAAAUAUUCUUUUAAACUGUAGCCAUUUAUAAGGUUCUUUCACUCUAAAGAGUCAACCCUAGAUAUUCUUUCAAACUGAG
This 553-nucleotide long non-coding RNA is filed under the name Olea europaea (common olive). Its description in RNAcentral is "long non-coding RNA (OEUR_LNC012514)". Lineage: Eukaryota; Viridiplantae; Streptophyta; Magnoliopsida; Lamiales; Oleaceae. The record is from RNAcentral.